GGAGGUGUGUCCUCUCUGCUUGUCACUCACAGUGAAGGAGGUGUGUCCUCUCUGCUUGUCACUCACAGUGAAGGAGGUGUGUCCUCUCUGCUUGUCACUUACAGUGAAGGAGGUGUGGCCUCUCUGCUUGUCACUUACAGUGAAGGAGGUGUGGCCUCUCUGCUUGUCACUUACAGUGAAGGAGGUGUGUCCUCUGCUUGUCACUCACAGUGAAGGAGGUGUGUCCUCUCAGCUUGUCACUCACAGUGAAGGAGGUGUGGCCUAGAUAAAUAUUACAUUGCAAGUUUUUUGUAAUACAGGUUCUCAGAAUUAAGCAUGAGCUGUUAUUCUCUCUCUCUCUCUCUCUCUCUCUCUC
Molecule: long non-coding RNA, 355 nt
Organism: Ictalurus punctatus (channel catfish)
Lineage: Eukaryota; Metazoa; Chordata; Actinopteri; Siluriformes; Ictaluridae
Source: Ensembl